UCUCCCCUUAUUAAAUCAGUUAUGGUUCCCUUAGAUCGUUUCUUCCUACUUGGAUAACUGUGGCAAUUCUAGAGCUAAUACAUGCAGUGAGCCUGAAGCCCUUUGGGCGACGGGUGCUUUUAUUAGACCAAGAUCGAUCGGGUUUCGGCCCGUAUUGUGUGGUGACUCUGGAUAACUUUGUGCUGAUCGCAUGGCCACGAGCCGGCGACGUUUCUUUCAAGUGUCUGCCUUAUCAACUUUCGAUGGUAGGUUACUUGCUUACCAUGGUUGUUACGGGUAACGGAGAAUCAGGGUUCGAUUCCGGAGAGGGAGCCUGAGAAACGGCUACCACAUCCAAGGAAGGCAGCAGGCGCGCAAAUUACCCACUCCCGGCACGGGGAGGUAGUGACGAAAAAUAACAAUACGGGACUCUUUUGAGGCCCCGUAAUUGAAAUGAGUACACUCUAAAUCCUUUAACGAGGAUCAAUUGGAGGGCAAGUCUGGUGCCAGCAGCCGCGGUAAUUCCAGCUCCAAUAGCGUAUACUAAAGCUGCUGCGGUUAAAAAGCUCGUAGUUGGAUCUCAGUUCCAGACGAGUAGUGCAUCUACCCGAUGCGACGGCUCGGACUGAACAUCAUGCCGGUCCUUUCUUGGUGCACUUCAUUGUGUGCCUCGAGAAGGCCGGUGCUUUUACUUUGAAAAAAUUAGAGUGCUCAACGCAGGCGAGUCGCCUGAAUAAACUUGCAUGGAAUAAUAGAACAAGACCUCGUUUCUGUUCUGUUGGUUUUUGGAAUACGAGGUAAUGAUUAAGAGGGACAGACGGGGGCAUUCG
This 809-nucleotide ribosomal RNA is filed under the name Dermacentor nuttalli. Its description in RNAcentral is "SSU rRNA". It matches the Rfam family "Eukaryotic small subunit ribosomal RNA", at positions 91 to 894 of the family's 1831-position model. Lineage: Eukaryota; Metazoa; Arthropoda; Arachnida; Ixodida; Ixodidae. The record is from RNAcentral.